Molecule: ribosomal RNA, 808 nt
Filed under: uncultured Actinomycetes bacterium
Lineage: Bacteria; Bacillati; Actinomycetota; Actinomycetes
Description: bacterial SSU rRNA
Rfam family: Bacterial small subunit ribosomal RNA
Source: RNAcentral
CGUUGUCCGGAUUUAUUGGGCGUAAAGGGCUCGUAGGUGGUUGAUCGCGUCGGAAGUGUAAUCUUGGGGCUUAACCCUGAGCGUGCUUUCGAUACGGGUUGACUUGAGGAAGGUAGGGGAGAAUGGAAUUCCUGGUGGAGCGGUGGAAUGCGCAGAUAUCAGGAGGAACACCAGUGGCGAAGGCGGUUCUCUGGGCCUUUCCUGACGCUGAGGAGCGAAAGCGUGGGGAGCGAACAGGCUUAGAUACCCUGGUAGUCCACGCUGUAAACGGUGGGUACUAGGUGUGGGGUCCAUUCCACGGGUUCCGCGCCGUAGCUAACGCUUUAAGUACCCCGCCUGGGGAGUACGGCCGCAAGGCUAAAACUCAAAGGAAUUGACGGGGCCCCGCACAAGCGGCGGAGCAUGCGGAUUAAUUCGAUGCAACGCGUAGAACCUUACCUGGGUUUGACAUGGAUCGGGAGUGCUCAGAGAUGGGUGUGCCUCUUUUGGGGUCGGUUCACAGGUGGUGCGUGGCUGUCGUCAGCUCGUGUCGUGAGAUGUUGGGUUAAGUCCCGCAACGAGCGCAACCCUUGUUCACUGUUGCCAGCACGUUAUGGUGGGGACUCAGUGGAGACCGCCGGGGUCAACUCGGAGGAAGGUGGGGAUGACGUCAAGUCAUCAUGCCCCUUAUGUCCAGGGCUUCACGCAUGCUACAAUGGCUGGUACAGAGAGUGGCGAGCCUGUGAGGGUGAGCGAAUCUCGGAAAGCCGGUCUCAGUUCGGAUUGGGGUCUGCAACUCGACCUCAUGAAGUCGGAGUCGCUAGUAAUC